AUGGCAGAUGCAGUUGCUGAUCCGGUCGCCCUGCUAAUCGUGCCUUGCCCGGAUUGCGGCAGGAACGUCGUGACCUAUGUAGCUCGUCACUGCCAGAACGGCGUCGAGCGUUUCUACAAGUGCCGCAGUCACAUCCCAGCACGUGGUGGAUGCGACUUCUAUAGGUGUCCGCAAGCUUACACCGAGUCGCUUGCUGCUGCAGCAACUCCGUUGGCGCAAAUCAUGCUUGGACAGGAGCAAGCUGCCCAAGCGUUAGGAGUUGAAGUUCCGGGCCAGCAGAACGGACCGCCGGAGGGCACGCAGUCCACAUCUUCUGCCAGCGCCGUCGCAGGAUACAUGGUUGCCGCAUCUGUUUGUACGUGA
Molecule: ribosomal RNA, 363 nt
Filed under: Triticum aestivum (bread wheat)
Lineage: Eukaryota; Viridiplantae; Streptophyta; Magnoliopsida; Poales; Poaceae
Description: partial small subunit ribosomal RNA
Source: RNAcentral